This 301-nucleotide ribosomal RNA is filed under the name uncultured bacterium. RNAcentral describes it as "partial 16S ribosomal RNA". It matches the Rfam family "Bacterial small subunit ribosomal RNA", at positions 509 to 807 of the family's 1533-position model. The record is from RNAcentral.
CAGCCGCCGCGGUAAUACAGAGGUCUCAAGCGUUGUUCGGAUUCAUUGGGCGUAAAGGGUGCGUAGGUGGCUUGGUAAGUUGAAGGUGAAAUCUCGGGGCUUAACUCCGAAACUGCCUUCAAUACUGCUGAGCUCGAGGAUUGUAGAGGAGAAUGGAAUUCACGGUGUAGCAGUGAAAUGCGUAGAUAUCGUGAGGAAGACCAGUGGCGAAGGCGAUUCUCUGGGCAAUUCCUGACACUGAGGCACGAAGGCCAGGGGAGCAAACGGGAUUAGAUACCCCCGUAGUCCCUGUCUCUUAUAC